RNAcentral lists this transfer RNA (94 nucleotides) under Hypnea pseudomusciformis. RNAcentral describes it as "tRNA-Ser". It matches the Rfam family "tRNA". Rfam says of the family: Transfer RNA (tRNA) molecules are approximately 80 nucleotides in length. Their secondary structure includes four short double-helical elements and three loops (D, anti-codon, and T loops). Further hydrogen bonds mediate the characteristic L-shaped molecular structure. tRNAs have two regions of fundamental functional importance: the anti-codon, which is responsible for specific mRNA codon recognition, and the 3' end, to which the tRNAs corresponding amino acid is attached (by aminoacyl-tRNA synthetases). tRNAs cope with the degeneracy of the genetic code in two manners: having more than one tRNA (with a specific anti-codon) for a particular amino acid; and 'wobble' base-pairing, i.e. permitting non-standard base-pairing at the 3rd anti-codon position. Lineage: Eukaryota; Rhodophyta; Florideophyceae; Gigartinales; Hypneaceae. The record is from RNAcentral.
GAGAAGAUGGUUGAGUGGUUGAAAACAAUGGUUUGCUAAAUCGUCACAUAAAUAUAAUAAUAUUAUGUCAUGGGUUCGAAUCCCAUUCUUCUCA